RNAcentral lists this small RNA (71 nucleotides) under Hoeflea phototrophica DFL-43. Its description in RNAcentral is "Makes More Granules Regulator RNA (mmgR)". It matches the Rfam family "Makes More Granules Regulator RNA (mmgR)". From Rfam's summary of the family: SuhB later renamed mmgR (makes more granules regulator) was a putative non-coding RNA found multiple times in the Agrobacterium tumefaciens genome and related alpha-proteobacteria. Other non-coding RNAs uncovered in the same analysis include: speF, ybhL, metA, and serC. Lineage: Bacteria; Pseudomonadati; Pseudomonadota; Alphaproteobacteria; Hyphomicrobiales; Rhizobiaceae. The record is from Rfam by way of RNAcentral.
UGUAAAUGCCCUCCUUGGGCGUUUCCUCCCUAGACUCUGCCGCGCUUCGAGCGCGGUUUUUUUUGAAUGAU